GUUAUGGCUCAGUGGCUGAGUGCUUGCCUAGCAUGCAUGAGGCAUUGGGUUCGAUCCUCAGCAUCACA
Molecule: transfer RNA, 68 nt
Filed under: Marmota monax (woodchuck)
Lineage: Eukaryota; Metazoa; Chordata; Mammalia; Rodentia; Sciuridae
Description: tRNA.Ala
Source: RNAcentral